GACGAACGCUGGCGGCGUGCUUAACACAUGCAAGUCGAACGGCAAGACACUGCUUUCGUGGGGUGACCGAGUGGCGAUCGCGGGCGUAACAGGAGAGUAACCUGCUCUACAUUUUGGGGUAGCUUCACGAAACGGGAGUUAAUCUAGUAUAGCAUAUCCCCUUGCAUGGAGGGGAUGGGAUAUUUGCGGCGGUUGGGGAUGGACUGGCGGGUGAUCGGCUUGUUGGUGGGGUAGUGGCUUGCCAAGCCUUUGAAGGGUAGCCGGCCUGGGAGGGUGACCGGCCACAUUGGUACUGAGAUACGGCCCAGACUCCUACGGGAGGCAGCAGUGGGGAAUAUUGCACAAUGGUCGGGAGCCUGAUGCAGCAGCGCCGCGUGCGGGAUGACGGCCUUCGGGGUGUAAACCGCUUUCGCCUGUGACGAAGCGUGAGUGACGGUAAUGGGUAAAGAAGCACCGGCUAACUACGUG
This 468-nucleotide ribosomal RNA is filed under the name uncultured bacterium. Its description in RNAcentral is "partial 16S ribosomal RNA". It matches the Rfam family "Bacterial small subunit ribosomal RNA", at positions 28 to 507 of the family's 1533-position model. The record is from RNAcentral.